RNAcentral lists this ribosomal RNA (720 nucleotides) under Bifidobacterium animalis subsp. animalis. RNAcentral's name for it is "bacterial SSU rRNA". It matches the Rfam family "Bacterial small subunit ribosomal RNA", at positions 649 to 1366 of the family's 1533-position model. The record is from RNAcentral. Lineage: Bacteria; Bacillati; Actinomycetota; Actinomycetes; Bifidobacteriales; Bifidobacteriaceae.
GGGUAGGGGAGACUGGAAUUCCCGGUGUAACGGUGGAAUGUGUAGAUAUCGGGAAGAACACCAAUGGCGAAGGCAGGUCUCUGGGCCGUUACUGACGCUGAGGAGCGAAAGCGUGGGGAGCGAACAGGAUUAGAUACCCUGGUAGUCCACGCCGUAAACGGUGGAUGCUGGAUGUGGGGCCCUUUCCACGGGUCCUGUGUCGGAGCCAACGCGUUAAGCAUCCCGCCUGGGGAGUACGGCCGCAAGGCUAAAACUCAAAGAAAUUGACGGGGGCCCGCACAAGCGGCGGAGCAUGCGGAUUAAUUCGAUGCAACGCGAAGAACCUUACCUGGGCUUGACAUGUGCCGGAUCGCCCCGGAAACGGGGUUUCCCUUCGGGGCCGGUUCACAGGUGGUGCAUGGUCGUCGUCAGCUCGUGUCGUGAGAUGUUGGGUUAAGUCCCGCAACGAGCGCAACCCUCGCCGCAUGUUGCCAGCGGGUUAUGCCGGGAACUCAUGUGGGACCGCCGGGGUCAACUCGGAGGAAGGUGGGGAUGACGUCAGAUCAUCAUGCCCCUUACGUCCAGGGCUUCACGCAUGCUACAAUGGCCGGUACAACGCGAUGCGACACGGUGACGUGGGGCGGAUCGCUGAAAACCGGUCUCAGUUCGGAUCGCAGUCUGCAACUCGACUGCGUGAAGGCGGAGUCGCUAGUAAUCGCGGAUCAGCAACGCCGCGGUGAA